UACGGAGGGUCCAAGCGUUAUCCGGAAUCAUUGGGUUUAAAGGGUCCGUAGGCGGUUUUGUAAGUCAGUGGUGAAAGCCCAUCGCUCAACGGUGGAACGGCCAUUGAUACUGCAAGACUUGAAUUAUUGGGAAGCAACUAGAAUAUGUAGUGUAGCGGUGAAAUGCUUAGAGAUUACAUGGAAUACCAAUUGCGAAGGCAGGUUGCUACCAAUACAUUGACGCUGAUGGGACGAAAA
RNAcentral lists this ribosomal RNA (237 nucleotides) under uncultured bacterium. RNAcentral describes it as "partial 16S ribosomal RNA". It matches the Rfam family "Bacterial small subunit ribosomal RNA", at positions 524 to 759 of the family's 1533-position model. The record is from RNAcentral.